Molecule: long non-coding RNA, 550 nt
Organism: Austrofundulus limnaeus
Lineage: Eukaryota; Metazoa; Chordata; Actinopteri; Cyprinodontiformes; Rivulidae
Exons: 2
Source: RefSeq, a predicted model, not a curated record
UUUUGGAUGGAACUUUAUUUUCUAGAUCAGGUAGAGUCUUUACAUUACUCCAGCCUGAGACAUGUAGACAGACCUGGUCCAGUUGGCAGGGGUCGACCCAGGCUUAUCGAAGACCUCACCACAUACUCGGCAGUGACCGGAUGCAAGAACUUCACUGGAUCCCAAAACCAGAUUUAACUUUUUUUUUCUCUCUUAGCUCACCAUUCAGCAAGGAAGACUGUUUUACUGUUGGAUAAAAAUGUUAUUGUUAAUUUUAAGUUACUUUUUUAUUUCUAUUAAAGCUAUUUUUUUACUGUUUUUACUUCUUUAAGUUAGCCAGUAUUGUUUUAAAUGAUGUCACAGCUGUAAAAAUAGUGCUCCACUUCAAUUUUUAAAGAAACAACUAUACUGCUGYUUAACAGAAGAAUGCGAAUGUUAAUAAAUCCAAAGACUUUUUUAAUGUUUAUGAAGGAAUGUGYAGGAUCCAUGUUUUUAAUCUCCAUAUUAUGUCAGAUUUUCACAUUUAUUUCACUCUGUCACUUUUUGAAUAAACUGUAGACUCAAAAAGGUG